Sinocyclocheilus rhinocerous is the source of this 144-nucleotide long non-coding RNA. RefSeq lists it as uncharacterized. NCBI's taxonomy places the organism in Eukaryota, Metazoa, Chordata, Actinopteri, Cypriniformes, Cyprinidae. The record is from RefSeq and is a predicted model, not a curated record. The transcript has 3 exons.
GUCAGCCAACAGCGGUUUUAUGUGGUGGAUGUUGCUCGGUGUGGGGGCCCCGCACGUGGUGGAGAUUUGCCGCUGAUUGCAGGGGCGGCUUUGCUGGCGGGAUGCGCAUUGAAUGUCGCAUGCGAUUUAUCGUGCAGCCCUAGU